AUUAGCUCCAUUCAUGUGCUGAACUCAUUGAAGAUGUCCAACAAGGAAAAAGAGGCCUUUGAUUUCCCGUGUCCCCCAGCACCUUGUCCCCCAGUCCCUGUCUGUCAUGCACUUCCUUGCAGAGGUGUCCGUUUGCCGUGUACAGAUGUGAAUAGUAAUUUAUUUAGGUAGCUCGUGGCUCGUGGGCCGGCUCCCUGCAGCCCGCCCUGCGGUGCUGGCUCCUCUUUCUCUGUGACGUCACUCUCUGGUAUCGCACUGGAAGUCGGACACCAGAGUCGCACCUUGAACUCAGCGGGAAUUGUUCAGGAUCAAACACUAAGUGUCCCUUUGGAGGAAGGGAAGUGCACGCGUCUCCUCAGGACCCUCCAUCCCACUGGUUGGUUUCCCAUUUGUUUUACACUUUAGGGUUCCAGACAGAUCAUCUCAUGACUUUCAGGCUACAUCCCAUAUAGGAGACCAUAAACCACACGAUCAAUAGAACAGUCUACGCUUCCCAAAGCGGAUGAGAUCAAAACCACGGGUAGGAGAUGUGACCAGGAGAAUGUGGUGUAAGAAAUUCAAAGUGAAGAUCAUGUUUAUUUUUAUUUAUACUUGUUUGAUAAAAGUAUUUUUGAAAAGAUGACGCUUAUUUUAUUAUUUGAUGUUUAGUACAUGUCCCACAUGUCGAGGAUUUCCCCUCUGCACAGUGGCGGUGUCAGGAUGUGGCACUGGCCCCCAGCUUGCUGUGGGGGGCACAUCCAUGCUAGCGUUAGGACUGACGCGUCUGCCUGGCUGCUGACCUUUUCAGCGCAGGACUUCACCAUGAAACACAGAAGGGACCCAGCAGGACACACACUGCUCAUUCUCUGAAAGUCACGCAUCCUGGUCUGAGCACUCAGUAGGUCUCGCACUCGGCUCCCUGGGCUCUGUUGCCAGGGGAAGGCGCACCUGCGCUGGGGCUCCCUGGCCUCCGCUGGCCGCCUUGUGCUUCGGGCUCCAUGUUUUUGGGCUCCGUCUGUCCUUCUCUGGCCAAGCUGGCUGCUUUCCCAGAGAUUGCUUUGCGGAUGGGGAUCCUCCCGUGGUUCUUCUGGGCAGACUGGCAGAAGUCCGGAGGAGCCGUGCUCCUAACACAUACUGGACUAAAGAACAGAGAAUGUCAAAGUGCGAGGCUCACUGUGUGCAAGGGAGAACAGGUCACUCUAUAUAUACUAGGUGUAUAUACAUAUAUAUAUAUAUAUUGUACAUAUCUCAGUUUGGGUCAUUCAAACGAGGUGCAAAAUGCUGACUUCAGAGUCUGAAUCAAUGUCUCUGUCCCCACAUCCCUGACUGCCUGCUGGUCAAUGACGUCAUGAAGUCCUGAUGACAGGACGUGCAUACACACAAGAAACCACAUAUCAGAUUAGUACUAUUUUCCUUUGUGUGCACAUCAAACUGUCCUAUGGUUGCCAGUUUGGAGCAUGUUGUUCGACACCAACAGACAAAAAUGGAGUGACUUUCAGGUGAGAAUCCCCCCAGCCUCCGCUGGGGUGUGUGCGGUGCUUCCCGGGUCUCCGCGGGCGCGGGGGCGCGGGGUCAGGCCGCACUUGCACAGUGAGGGCUAGAGGACUUCCCGCAGGACCGCGGCGGGGGACCGCGAGCUGCGAAGGUCAUGUGCUUCAAAGCUGUUUAAGACUGCUGCUUUCUCACACAUCUUGCCUUCCCUUCAGGCUAGCUGCAAUAAUUUUUUUCUUCUGUAAAAUAUUUUGUACACAACAACAAAAAAGCUCUUAUAAAAAGGGGAAAAAGAAAGCUGGCAUUACGAUCAGGAAAACCCACGUCAUCGCCACCCCACCCCGCCGUCCCUCCACACGCUGCUGUCACGAAGUAGGUGCGAAGACCUUUUUGUACAGAGAUAUAUUUUUUAUGAAGAAUUUGUAAAAUUAUUAAAUAUGCUGUAAUUUUUUGAUUAAUGUAGGUAAAUUGUUAAAAAAAAUAAAUGUUUUUACAAUACAAAACUGUAAUUUUCCCAAUAAUGUAAAAUGUACCAUCUCUAGCUGAUCUCCGGUCCCUGUCCUAUUCCACACGUAUCAAUAUUAAAGUGGCCUGUUAAAAUGAACAGUAUCUUUUUUGUCAAAAACUAUAAAAAGUGUAAUAUAGCCUGUGCAAUGCCACCUAUCUUUAAAGCAAAUCAGAG
Molecule: long non-coding RNA, 2152 nt
Filed under: Marmota monax (woodchuck)
Lineage: Eukaryota; Metazoa; Chordata; Mammalia; Rodentia; Sciuridae
Source: RNAcentral